GAUGAACGCUAGCGAUAGGCUUAACACAUGCAAGUCGAGGGGCAGCAUGGUCUUAGCUUGCUAAGACUGAUGGCGACCGGCGCACGGGUGCGUAACGCGUAUGCAACUUGCCUCACAGAGGGGGAUAACCCGUCGAAAGACGGACUAAUACCGCGUACACUCUAUUUUGGGCAUCCAAGGUAGAGGAAAUGAAAUUCGCUGUGAGAUAGGCAUGCGUCCCAUUAGCUAGUUGGUGAGGUAACGGCUCACCAAGGCGACGAUGGGUAGGGGAACUGAGAGGUUGAACCCCCACACUGGUACUGAGACACGGACCAGACUCCUACGGGAGGCAGCAGUGAGGAAUAUUGGUCAAUGGGCGAGAGCCUGAACCAGCCAAGUCGCGUGAAGGAUGACUGUCUUAUGGAUGGUAAACUUCUUUUGUAGGGGAAUAAAGAGGGGCACGUGUGCCCCAGUGAAUGUACCCUACGAAUAAGCAUCGGCUAACUCCGUG
Molecule: ribosomal RNA, 490 nt
Filed under: uncultured bacterium
Lineage: Bacteria
Description: partial 16S ribosomal RNA
Rfam family: Bacterial small subunit ribosomal RNA
Source: RNAcentral